This 1959-nucleotide unclassified non-coding RNA is filed under the name Hevea brasiliensis (rubber tree). Lineage: Eukaryota; Viridiplantae; Streptophyta; Magnoliopsida; Malpighiales; Euphorbiaceae. The record is from RNAcentral.
AAAUGCCAUCAAUUUGCUUGCUAACGACGUGAAGAGAAGUGGUUUUGUGAGAUCAUAUCUUGACGGGGAAGACUGAGCUCACUGUUUCUUUGAAGCUCAAAUUGCUGGUUAGUCUUUUAAUUUUAUAAAUUACCCAUUUUUCCCCUACUUAUUUGGGUUAUUCUUCAACUUGUAUGUUUCACACUGGACCAAUGGUUUUGUGAAUUGCUACAGCAAUCGGUUCAAUCGCUUGUAUUGGACUGCCUGUGGCUUUCAAUUCAUUUUCCCCAGUUAAUUGCUUUCUUUAAUUUCUGGUUCAGAUGCUUAGUGUGUUGUGGCCUUUAAUCGGUUUUGGGGUGAUUUAAAGGGUUUCUGUUAAUUCCGUUUUUAUCAGAGAUUGUUGGGUAGAUUUUUUUUGUUUAUGUAAUUAACUGCUAUUUCCUCUCUGAAAUAUUUCUAAUGCUGGCUUGUCAUGGUCUUGGUCAUGCUUUAAUUUGGUUUGCUCUUGCUUAGUUCCUCUGUUCAGCAGGUGGCAUAUCAGUUUUAUUAUUGCUUUUAAUUAUUGAUUAAUCAAUGUGAUUUUGGAGCUUAAUUUCUUUAUUCAAUUUUGCAAUGAAAGUACUUUAGCACAUUGAAAUCAUUUUCAUUUCUCUAAUGUUACUUGAUAGAGUUUCUUACCACUAGCUGAGCUUGUAAUGUUCAUAUCCUUUCUAAUGUUCUUGUCAAUAAUGCUUCAUUGCAAACUGGAAGUUUAUAUCAAAUAUGUCUUGAAUGAUGAUGGUGCUAUCUGACUAUAGAUUCGACACAAGCAAAUCAAGGCUGCUAGGUGCUAGCAUUAUGUGAGGAGACUUCAAUUUAAAGCCUACUCAUUCUUGGGGAAUGCCCAAACCUUUCUAAAUUAUUUCCCCGUGUGUCAAUAGACACUAAAUAUAAAUCUUAAUGAAUUAAGAAGAUAUUUUUAAUGCCUUCUUAUUAUAUAUAACGCACAGAUAAGUGAAAACGAUUGAUUCAUAUUGAUUUUGGAAUUGUUGAUCUGGCUUCUCAGAACCCUUUAAUGCAAAUGCUUUUAUUUGUUUAUUUAUUUAUUUAUGAGUUUCAUCUAAUUUUUUAUGCUCUUGACUGAGAAAUCUUUUAAUUAAAAAAAUAUGGAUGGUUUCAAAGCUAAUCCAUGACAAACACUAGAAUGCAUAAUGGACAUAUAAACCUUCCCUCCUGUUUAGUUUGAAUGGUUCUUAUUCUAUCAUUUGGGAACCUAUCUUUAUAUAGUCAAUUGCAGAGUAUUGUUUCUGGUCUGAACAGAGGCCUUGCUGCUAGUGAAGAUGAUCUACAGAAGGCAGAUGCUGCUGCGAAGGAGCUUGAAGCUGUUGGAGGACUAGUAGAUCUCUCAAAUGAUAUUGAUAAGCUGCAAGGAAGGUGGAAGCUGAUUUAUAGCAGUGCAUUCUCAACUCGCACUCUGGGUGGAAGUCGUCCUGGACCUCCCACUGGAAGGCUGCUUCCUAUAACUCUAGGCCAGGUGUUUCAACGGAUUGAUGUCUUAAGCAAAGAUUUUGAUAAUAUAGUAGAGCUUGAAUUAGGUGCUCCAUGGCCUUUGCCACCUGUUGAAGUGACUGCCACAUUAGCCCACAAAUUUGAACUCAUAGGAUCUGCAAAGGUUAAAAUAACAUAUGAGAAAACGACUGUGAAGACAACAGGGAACUUGUCACAACUUCCUUCUUUAGAAAUACCUCGAAUUCCUGAUGCAUUAAGGCCUCCAUCCAAUCCUGGAAGUGGUGAAUUUGAAGUUACCUAUGUUGAUGGUGAUACCCGUAUCACCAGAGGAGAUAGAGAAGAGCUGAGGAUUUUUGUAAUCUCGUAAUUUUUUUUUCUUGUGCAGUUUCUUUGCCAUCCCUUCACAUUCAAUAUUCUCUCAUCAUCUCUGUAUAUCAAAAGCAUUUGUCUAUCUUUUCGUUCUGUUUUUCCAAGCGCAUGGUUGGUUUAUUA